AAUUUGUGCGUUUCGAUGGGUGUAGCUGUCUGCUUCUGGGGAAGCAUGAGUGACUGUCAGCCGUGGGAAAAUACCCUUUUCCCUUCUUUCUGGCAAGGGAAUGACAUGGCUGGAUAACUUGGUCGGUGUUCUCAAGACAAGGGGCAGUCAUUGCAGCUGUGUCUUCCUGCCUGUGGAGGGUGGUGGGAGCUACGAGGAGAAAAAUGAAGGUGGUUCCCUGGCCUUGCACUGCCACAGAAGAAGCAGAAGAGGCUUUGCAAAGAGCAUAAGAAAACUAUUCCCGCCCGGGGUGUUAUUAGAGGCUAUUCUUCCUGGAAGAGCUGAAGUUGCGAUACCAACACCCUGAGAGCUUGACCAGUCAUACUCAGAAAUAUGAAGAGAAUGUAACUAGAGGAAGUAGUGGUUGAAACACUGUAAAGUGAAAUGGGAGGCGACCUGAGGCAGUUGCUCAAACUAGCAGCAGGACCGUAAGCCCUUCUUGGAUGCCUGGGUUGGCUGAUGGUACGUUCAGACGGGGUCACGGGCACCCCAGCACCCGCGCACUGGCCGCACUGGACAUUUGCAGCGCUGGACAAGGUUGCAAUGUUCUGGGCACAGGUUACAAGUGCUGGCUGGAGCGCUCUGGUCACGACCGUGCUUAGAGCUUCUGCUACAGCACAUGCAUUAAUCCUAGCUUGUACAAAAACACUGACCGCCACUGGGACAGAGGUGGCCUAAGUUAUUUAAAUGCUUCCUGGAAAACGCUAAAGAUUAUUAAACAAAAAUAGCCACUGCGUUGUAAUAGGGAAGGAGGGAUGCAGUUUAUUAUUAGUAAUAAUGAACGUUAGUACUAUAAUCUAUGAAAAUAGUUUAGGUCACCGCUGUCUAUCAAGUAAAACAUCUUGAAGGGAGCCUUCGUUUGAAGGCUAAACUCGAUAUUUAAUUUUCUCCAAACUCUACUAUAAAUAGUCUCCGUGUGACACGAUACCAGGCUGUCAUGUCUUCUAAAGGCACCCAGACAAAGGGAGCCCUUGUUUGUGAGCACUUGCAAAGCAUGUCAGAUAUGAGCCAGAAGAGAAACACUUCUCUCUGAAAAAGAACCAAAAGCAACAAAAUAAACCCAUCCCAAACUGAAACGCGCGCUGUCAUUUUUGGUAACGAAACCUCUCUUUUCGGGUACAGCGAGUAACAAGCAGUAGAGGCAGAACACUACCUAAGAGACCUGCAGCAAAGAUAUGUCAAAGAAAAGGUCCCUAGCGAGGCCACAAGAGCUGAUAGCCCUCGUUCACAUGGGUCAUGGACUCUUCUUCUCAGAUUAGGGGCUGGGAGAGGGCCUUCUCCAAAAAUUGCAGUUUAAAGCUAAUUUUGGAGAAAGCAGAUAUAGCAGGGAGGUGAGAACUGGAUUUUUACCCGGGGACACCAACUUUUGUUGUUCAUAGUAAUGCUAUCGGUUUAUAAUCGCCAGCCAAGCCCGUGGGACAUCACACACCAAGCUCAAGGCACGAUUUCCCAGGGUUUAAGGCUCUUUUGCAGGGCCCAGCUGACACAAAAUCUUGGGCAAGCAUGCACAGCUGCUCACCUCCUUGCAACCGGUGUGUGAAGGAGCCACGGGGGACGCAGCGCACUGCCUGGGAAGCCUGGCUUGCCGGGACCUCAGCACAUUGGCAGCAAGAGGCAUUUUUCUCUGCGCUGCCUGCAAAUCUGGGCCACAGUGCAGGAAGUAGUGACGGGCAAGUGCGCAUCUGCAGGGCUCCUGCUGGUGUUUGCAGAUCAGUGUAGAAAUAGCUCCCAGUUUGCUGGGGUUUAUACUGGGCUGGCAGGUGCUUCCAGGACCUGCAUUCUAAAGACUGAAAUCACUGCAUGAGGCUAAUUCUUAAUUAACUGCAAGGAACAAGGUGUCAUCACCCAAAUCGUAAGGACUGGGCUAGGCCUAAUCUUACUUAACAGUCUUCUCAAUGCUGAAGAACAGCUUGGGCUGACCUUAAAAGGCCUCCUCCUGCCCGGAACUCUGCACCCGAUGUCACCUAGCAAUAAGGGUAUUGCCACUUCCAGUUGGAAGGAAGUGCAUCCUCUGUGCAGUCUAGGGAUGUGCAUACGCUGUAUAUCCACUGGAGUUGCAUGUUAUGUGUAUAUUAUCGUAGUGACAAAGUGUAAGCGCACAGAGUGAAGGCUUCCGUGCUGGGCAUCUGCUUCAGGCUAGAUAUUGCUUUUCUAAUUGGAAAAAAACAAGAGAAGGCUCCAACUAUCUUCCACUGGAGGAACAAGAUUACGUAGAAAAACAUUGCUUGGUUUGCAUUUUUUACAGCAGUCUUCUCACUGAGAAGCUCUAGCACCCUCGUGCUUUGGAGGCACAUAGAUCCGGUGGGAGCUGGAGAAAGGGAGAAAGCCUAGGUGUGCUGAGGUCAGGGUGCUCGGCUCCACAUCCCUUCAGCUUGCCCAGGUUGGCUUUGCAAUUCCACAGUGUUCUUUUUAACAUAGGCAUCAGCAAGUGGAAUUUAACAGUAAAGCAAGUGGCAGGGAAAAUUUUGCUGGGAGCCAGAAAUAGUUUGUUAACACUGGAAGCAAAGCAAGUUUAUGGCAGAGAUAAAAACCCCUUCCAAGUGGCUGCUCAUCACUGCAUGCAAGAACCAUUUGAUUGCAGAGAGCAUGUAGGAACAUAAUAAGGAAGAGGCUAGAAAUGAGUCUUUAAUUGCAUUUUUUCCUUUGUUUUUGCUCCCAAGAGUAUGAAGGCUCUUCAUGUCAUUCCUUGUGCAAAUCUUUCUCCAGGUUAAGCACACUACCACUUUAGACAUGCAAAUUAGAGCCAAUUAGAGCAGAAUUUGUGUGCCCUGAUACUGAAAUGGGCAGCAGAGUUCACAUUCUGUGAAACUAUGCAUUUUACUGCUCUGUGUUUCCCCAGUUUAGGGAAUUAAUAUCAUGCCUUUAAAAAAAAAAAAAUUUCCCUAAUUAAAAUCCCAAACAAUUAUGUCUUUGUCAAAAAUUGUUCAUUCAGUGCAUGAAGUGCAUAAUCACACCAAGAAGCAGCAUAUGUUUUAAUUAACUCCAACCCACAAGGCAGGGAAAUGAAGGUUCCCAGCAUGCACUCUGAGCGAAAUUAAAAUAUGAAUCUGUCAAAAGACUGAUGAGGAAAAAUUCUUCAAAUUGUAGUAGAAAAGUCCCUACUUCCUCCUGCCGCUGAACAUCAAACAUCUCAGCAGCUCCACUUUUUCUUCUUCAUUGUCAAAGUCAUAAUAUGUUUCCUGUUUAUCUGAAGAUGUCAAUGGUGAUUUAUGGGAUGAAACCCAGAUGCAUGCUCGUUCUGCUUAAUGAUCUUCGUUCAGCCUGUUGUGAGCUUAUGGUGACGUCUGCGACAUCCAUCCCCGAUGUCCCCAGCAUUGCAAGGCAGGAAAUGGCUAGUGAUGCCUCGACCAUCCCCAGCACACCUAGCAGCAUUUCCCGACACAACUCUCAGAGGAGUCUUAUGAGGGGGUUCAUAUAUUAGGCAGAGCCCAGGUACAAGUCAGGUGGGAUUGGAGGCAGGCCUAGCAGAAAAGCCUGUUACAAAAGUUGCCCAAUGAUGGCCAUUCAAAGAUCCUAUUUUCAGGUGUGCACAAAGCUUUAAGCAUUUAGGGCAAAUUCUUUCCAAGACGAAUUUGGCCUAGAAUCACAGACUCGCAGAACGGUUGAGGUUGGAAGGGACCUCUGGAGAUCAUCUCGUCCAAACGCCCUGCUCAAACAGCGCCCCAAGGGGGAGAAGCGAGGGCAGGGUUUGCUGGCUCAGAGGGGAAAGGCAACAGCACCCCUGGGAAGGAGACAACUGUGCAAACUUCCUCCAACCCUAAAUGUCACCAUGCCUCCCCUCCAGUACACACAUCUAAAUGUCACAACCUAGAGCGUGGCCAGUGAAGCAUGGCAACCAGGGCAGUAUCUGGGCAAGUAGGAGGGACUGGUGGAGAAACCUAUUUCAAGAUCCUGAUGUCUUCUGCUGCAAAAGCCUCUUGCCCUCCUGCAGGCCUUUGUCCGUCUUUGGUGUUAUUCACCUUGCAAAUCUGUGUGCCACAGUCCUUUUGUGUGGCCUUUUGUGUGGGGAGAUUCUCACGCAGGCUGAGCCAAUCAGUGCUGCUCCUGCACCUGGUCCUUGGCCAUAAAUAAUCCCAUCCAGUCGCUUCCCUGUCCCACACCAUGUACCCCCAUCCUGUGCCUCCAUCUGUCCACAGGCGCUCCUUGCAGCGGCAUGGGUAUGGCUCUUGCCCUACUGGGAUGGAUUUGUGCUUCCUGAAAUGCCCAGCCUCGACGUGAGCAUCGCAUAACUGUAAACAGACAAUCAAAAGUUGCUCUGUUGCUGGGGCUUUUUUGGUCUCUGUUUCCUCAAAAUUAACUUCUCAGAAAAGAGUUUCAUGUAACCAUGAACUGUUUACCAGGAAGACAAAAACCCCAGAAAAACUAAUAGUAAAGGGUUUUGUCGAAGUUCAAGCCUUUGAAGAGGAUUAAUGCUCUUUUGAACCAUUUUGCUAUAUUUUGCUAGUUCCAAACUCUUAGUUACUGGAAAAAUUGUACUUGCUUUGACUUGCUUUUCCCCAUGUUAGCCCCCAACCAGCUCACCCUCUGGUUAGAUGCAUGCAGAGCUGGAGUCAUUUCUAGCACUGCUUAGCUGGACACGGUGGUUAAAAGAGGUUUGGCUUAUCUGCAUUCAGGAAUACCACAGGUUAUAAACUGGAUUUCCCCCAUAUUUAGGAAGAGGCUUGCUCGAUUCUUGGAGCUGUAGCCCAGAUGAGGCCUCCAUUCCCUUCUCAAAGACCUUAUUGACAUGUCCAUUUCGAACUCUUUGGUGCCUCCUUCUUACAGGUUUGGUUUUGGAGCCUGUGCCUUUGCACAGGGAGCCUGUCUUGGCCAAGGACUUGGCCUUCGCUUUGAAGGACAGUCCACGGACACUCCCGGCUUUGCCCUGCUAAGCAUCAGAGCAAGCAAAGCAGAAGAGAAGCUCUAAGGCUUUCAGGAGCGCCAGGUCCUGGGCUGUUUUGUGACAUCGUCCCUGCUUCCUGGCCAGGGAAAGUCUGAGCUUGUGAAACCACCUUUUUUGACCCAAAACAUGCUGAAGGGAAGCCAUGCAUUACACUGGCUGGCUGGAAAGGAUGGCCGCAGAGUCAGGCAGGCUUGGCACAGGGCCAGCCCUCGCUCCCUCUCCCUCGGCCGGUUUGGCUGCAAUCUGCAAACAGGAGAACGAGCCUUCGCUUUGUGCCGGACUAGAUGUGUUAAUGAGAUGGUGCCAUUUGUUAAUAAUAGCUUCUCAAAACAGUAUCGCGCUCCAGAUCACUCUGGCCUCAGGUUUUACGAUGCUGAGUGUGUGGCAGGGGAGCUUGUGUUCUUCUAAAUCCUAUUAUGUGUGACCUGGAGGUGUUUGCUGAUAAGUGUGUACUUCCCAGCCAAGAGAGAGGCUUUUCUGCUUCGUCUGCUGUUGCUGUCUGGAACGGUGUUGUGUUGAAAUGUGGGACAGUGCUUUCCCCUCCACGGCUUGGCAGCUGCCAGGCAUCCUGCCUUUCCAAAGCCACCACCGAGCCGCAGCAGAUAAGGCUUCACUGUCCCAAGGACAGGUAGGACUUGCCCACCGAGGACUAAAAAUCAGUGAGUCACUAAGAGAUGCAAUCUGUCGAUUCAGGCUGUGCUUGUCUAGAGCACGACUGCAAUCAGGAGAAUUUAAGCAGAGGCUUAAGAUUAAGCUUGUGCUUCAAUAGAAUGGAGUCACCUGCUGGGAACUGGCUCUUAAGAAGACAAACCAGUUCUGUCCCUUGGGGUCUUUGCCAUGAGAAGCCCCACACUUCCCCUACUUCCCUAUGGGAAAUCUAUUCCCUCCUUUGUUACUAAGCAGUUGUAGAGCUGUGGCAGACAGCUGGGCUGCACCUCGGCGCGUCGCCUGCAGCUGCAAUUUCAGCAUCAAACUUCACGGCCAUCAACACGAACAACAUCGUAAUCAGGACACAGCACUGAUUAAUGAUGUAGACUUGCUAACUUCAGUGUUCAACACUUUUUCCCUUGGCUUUCUAACUGCAUAAGCAAAUUUCCCCAGUAAAUCUACAAGGCAACAGAGGGUAAUAAAAUAAAAAGGAUGUCGCAGAUAAGCAGUGUUGCCUCAGCAGACCAGGCUAUUCAGCUGCAAGCAAAACAAACCCUUGUUUGACACUGAGCUUUCUGUUUUGUCUCACACCAUGGCUUUCUGCAGCUAAUUCGGGUCUUGGAAGAGCAUGUGGCUAGCUGGGUAUCCAGCGCAGCCCUGUGCCUCUCACAGAUGGAGCAAAUUCUGCCUCUGCAAUUGGAAAUUGUGGGCUUCCUCCCCCUCCCAUCCCAUCCCACCAGGCUUGCUCCAGUCCCUACCCCCAGCAUUCGAGCCCUGGGUGCUUCUCUAAUUUAGGGCUGCAGGGAAACUGGGGGUUUCCUAAGCCAGGAAUGAGUGGGAAAGGGAGAGCUGAGGCUGAUAUUGGAGAUACUGUGUGGCUCUGAUGUGCAGGAGCAGGGAUGUCUGCAGCAAGAGGGAGCUGCACAGACACCAUCAA
This is a non-coding RNA of Struthio camelus australis, 6506 nucleotides long. The record is from RefSeq and is a predicted model, not a curated record. Lineage: Eukaryota; Metazoa; Chordata; Aves; Struthioniformes; Struthionidae.